This 515-nucleotide ribosomal RNA is filed under the name uncultured bacterium. Its description in RNAcentral is "partial 16S ribosomal RNA". It matches the Rfam family "Bacterial small subunit ribosomal RNA", at positions 28 to 523 of the family's 1533-position model. The record is from RNAcentral.
GAUGAACGCUGGCGGCGUGCCUAAUACAUGCAAGUCGAGCGAAUGGAUUAAGAGCUUGCUCUUAUGAAGUUGGCGGCGGACGGGUGAGUAACACGUGGGUAACCUGCCCAUAAGACUGGGAUAACUCCGGGAAACCGGGGCUAAUACCGGAUAACAUUUUGAACCGCAUGGUUCGAAAUUGAAAGGCGGCUUCGGCUGUCACUUAUGGAUGGACCCGCGUCGCAUUAGCUAGUUGGUGAGGUAACGGCUCACCAAGGCAACGAUGCGUAGCCGACCUGAGAGGGUGAGCGGCCACACUGGGACUGAGACACGGCCCAGGCUCCUACGGGAGGCAGCAGUAGGGAAUCUUCCGCAAUGGACGAAAGUCUGACGGAGCAACGCCGCGUGAGUGAUGAAGGCUUUCGGGUCGUAAAACUCUGUUGUUAGGGAAGAACAAGUGCUAGUUGAAUAAGCUGACACCUUGACGGUACCUAACCAGAAAGCCACGGCUAACUACGUGCCAGCCGCCGCAGUAA